UGGCGUCCGAGUUGUAAUUUGAAGAGGAAGGUCCCGCGAGGGCGCCGGUCUAUGUUCCUUGGAACAGGUCAUCAGAGAGGGUGAGAAUCCCGUAUGUGACCGGAGGGCCUUUGCAAGUGGAGUUGCCUCGUCGAGUCGAGUUGUUUGGGAAUGCAGCUCAAAGUGGGAGGUAAAUUUCUUCCAAAGCUAAAUACGGGCCAGAGACCGAUAGCGCACAAGUAGAGUGAUCGAAAGAUGAAAAGCACUCCGGCAGGGGGGUUAAACAGCACGUGAAAUUGUUGAAAGGGAAGCGCUUGCAACCAGACGUGCGGCGGUGGCAUGUGCCUAGCUGCAGGGCAGCGGCGGUUUGGGCGGUCGGAGAAAGACCUGGGGAAUGUGGCUCCUUCGGGAGUGUUAUAGCCUCGGGUGGAAUGCGAUCUGCCGGGACCGGCGCUGGCGUAAUGGUUGUAAGCGGCCCGUCUUGAAACACGGACCAAGGAGUCUAACAUCUAUGCGAGUCUUUGGGUGUCAAACCCACAGGCGCAAUGAAAGUGAACGGAGGUGGGAACCCUUCGGGGUGCACCAUCGACCGAUCCUGAAGUCUUCGGAUGGAUUUGAGUAUGAGCAUAGCUGUUGGGACCCGAAAGAUGGUGAACUUUGCUUGGAUAGGUUGAAGCCAGAGGAAACUCUGGUGGAGGACCGAUCGGGGUUCUGACGUGCAAAUCGAUCUCCAAAUUUGAGCAAAGGGGCGAAAGACUAAUCGAACCAUCUAGUAGCUGGUUCCUGCCGAAGUUUCCCUCAGGAUAGCAACAGCGAUCGUAGUUUUAUGAGGUAAGCGAAUGAUAGAGGCCUUGGGGUUGAAACAACCUUAACCUAUUCUCAAACUUUAAAUGUGUAAGAAGCCCUUGUUACUUUGNUGAACGUGGCAUUCAAAUACACGCUGUUAGUGGGCCAUUUUGGAAGCAGAACUGGCGAUGCGGGAUGAACCGAACNCAAGGUUAAGGUGCCAGAAUGCACGCUCAUCAGNCACCACACAUGGUGUUGGUUCAUNUAGACAGCAGGACGGUGCCCACAGAAGUUGGAAUCNANUAAGGAGUGUGUAACAACUCNCCCACNGAAUGGCGUAGACNACCAAAUGGCCGGCGCUCAUCCGUGUUACCCACACUUCACCGGUGGAGAUACUGCUCCUCGUCAACGAGCAUGCAGGCGCAAGAGUNGAGACGAAGCCUCGGGGGUGACCCCAGGUCGAUGGCANUUUGGUGCAGAUCNNGGUGAAAGUCGCAAAUACUCCUUUNAGAANUUUGAGGANUGAAGUGGGGAAGGGUUCCGUGGUAACAGCAGUNGGCCACGGGUCAGUCGAUCCUAAGGAGUAGGGUAGUUCCGUAAAAGCAUGCAUUUGCAUNGUUNUCCGAAGGGGAAGCCGGCUAAAAUUCCUGCACCUAGAGGUGGAUUUCACGCGGCAACGCAACUGAAGGUGGAGACGUCGGCGGGGGUCCUGGGUAGAGUUCUCUUUUCUACUUAACAACCUGUCACCCNGAAAACGGUUUAUCCGGAGAUAGGGUUUAAUGGUUGGUAGAGCCUUGCACUUCUGCGAGGUCCGGUGUACCCCUGACGACCCUNGAAAAU
This 1605-nucleotide ribosomal RNA is filed under the name Lembosina sp. 1 LR-2019. RNAcentral's name for it is "partial 28S ribosomal RNA". It matches the Rfam family "Eukaryotic large subunit ribosomal RNA", at positions 132 to 1812 of the family's 3401-position model. The record is from RNAcentral. Lineage: Eukaryota; Fungi; Ascomycota; Dothideomycetes; Asterinales; Asterinaceae.